AGGAUACCAUCUCAUUAGAUACAAAAUCAUAUGUAUCAUAUCAUUCAAAACAUAUUUGAUUCAUAACAAAUGGAGCAUAGAGUAAUUGGAGCAUAUCAAUGGCAGAUAGGACAUUUCAAAACAUAUCAGUUCAUAGCAAAUGGAGCACAGAGUAAUUGGAGCAUAUCAAUGGCAGAUAGGACAUUUCAGAACAUAUCAGUUCAUAGCAAAUGGAGCACAGGGUAAUUGGAGCAUAUCAAUGGCAGAUAGGACAUUUCAGAACAUAUCAGUUCAUAGCAAAUGGAGCACAGAGUAAUUGGAGCAUAUCAAUGGCAGAUAUGACAUUUCAGAACAUAUCAGUUCAUAGCAAAUGGAGCACAGAGUAAUUGGAGCAUAUCAAUGGCGUAUGAAAUGUUCCGGAGCAUAUCAACGACAUAUGGAACAUUUUGAAACAUAUCAACAGUGGAUGAAACAAUUCAGAGCAUAUCAAUAACAAAUACCGUACAGAAGCUCAAACGUCGUCUUUGACGUUGCAAACAUAUCAAUCUUAUCCAAAGCAUGUAUAGAAACACAUAACUAAAGCUCUGGAUAUCAUAUCAAACAUACAAAAGGUGUAGUGGGAUCUCAGUCAGAAUGUGAUUCAUCCAUUUCUGAAUGACCACCUGACAAAAGUCUCCCACGUCUGGGAGCUCCAUCCACCCACGUCUUGGUGAAGUCAAAGGGGGCCGGUAGAGCAUCGCAGGCUCUAAGCACAUACCCUUUACCAUUUCUGGCAAAGGUCCAGAAUAACACCCUUUACCAUUUCUGGCAAAGGUCCAGACAAUCCCACAACACCAGAGUACAAGAGGGCAGUUUUAACAAUAAGUAGCACAUAUCGGAAGCACACGCGGAACAACAAAACAUACAUGUGCCUUUACGAGUCAAUACGAAGUAAGCAAUAAUCUUUCACAAUGAUAUUUGGAUUUUGAAAGGAAAUGGAAUAGGCACAUAUCGAAAGCAAAUGCGGAACAAUGGGAUACACAUGUGCCUAAAUGAGUUAAUACGAUAUAGCAUAAACGUUACACAAUAGAUUUCAAGAAUGCAAAUAACUUCAAGGACAAGAGCAUACAAGAAUUCAAAGCAGUAAUAUAAAGCUCAAUUGAAUAAGAAGGCUAAAAGAUAUCAAUUUCCAAAGGAAUGAAACCAGAAUAUGAGAAAUCGACCAAAGCUCGAUUUCUGGCAGAAUACAAGAGGCACAUUGAACAGAUGAUUCAAACUAUCAAUCGUGCUCCAAUUUACUCAGAAAUAAUCAUUGGAUUAUACUUUCAGAUAAGACAGGCUUCAUAUGAAUCGAACUGUCCAACAGUGACAGUUACAAAUAAUUUGGUAAACAAGGGUCGUAGAACAAAAUCUCUGUUGGCAGAAUUCAUAAUGUCAAAUUCAACAGAUAACUGGGCAGGUGUUUGGAUUCCAAAUCUUUCAAUCCAUAUAUCAAAAGAAAGAUCUAUGAGUCUAGUUUCCAAUGAAAUAAGCUUUGAAUAAAUCCAUGUUUGCAACAGGGACUUAUAAGCAGUUCAGUAUCAAAAGGUUAGAAAUUACGAUCCCUGUUUUACAGAAUCUGUAGGCUCAUUUGAAACAGAAGUUUGGGUAGACAAACUUACUCUGAAUUCUUAAAAUAAGCUAUCAAAACAAAGGUUUAUGAGACUAUAUUCUGAUCAAAUAAGUUUUGUCCAAAUCAGAUGUCAAUACAUGAAGUUAUAAUCAUAACAAGGUAGAAAGGUCAGAAUCUUGGAAGUUGCACAGAUUCGAAUCGUUACGUCUAAACUGGAGAUAUAUCAAGUGCAAGGCUAGAACAAUUCAAAGUUCCUCAUAUUCAAAGCAAAUGUAGAGAUAAAAUUGCAGUGAGGAAAGAUCAGGAUACUUACAAUAGGAAAGAUUAGAACAAUUACAGGAGAAACGAACAGGAAACUUGCAAUAGGAAAUAUUAGAACAAUAACAGGAGAAACGAUUGGGAAACUUGCAAUAGGAAAGAUUAGAACAAUAACAGGAGAAACGAUUGGGAAACUUGC
This 2027-nucleotide long non-coding RNA is filed under the name Musa acuminata (dwarf banana). RNAcentral describes it as "long non-coding RNA (MACU_LNC011156)". Lineage: Eukaryota; Viridiplantae; Streptophyta; Magnoliopsida; Zingiberales; Musaceae. The record is from RNAcentral.